UGGGGAAUCUUGGACAAUGGGGGCAACCCUGAUCCAGCCAUGCCGCGUGAGUGAUGAAGGCCUUAGGGUCGUAAAGCUCUUCGCCUGUGAAGAUAAUGACGGUAGCAGGUAAAGAAACCCCGGCUAACUCCGUGCCAGCAGCCGCGGUAAUACGGAGGGGGUUAGCGUUGUUCGGAAUUACUGGGCGUAAAGCGCACGUAGGCGGACCAGAAAGUUGGGGGUGAAAGCCCUGGGCUCAACCCAGGAAUUGCCUUUGAUACUGUUAGACUAGAGUUCGGGAGAGGGUAGUGGAAUUCCCAGUGUAGAGGUGAAAUUCGUAGAUAUUCGGAGGAACACCAGUGGCGAAGGCGGCUCACUGGCUCGAUACUGACGCUGAGGUGCGAAAGCGUGGGGAGCAAACAGGAUUAGAUA
This 411-nucleotide ribosomal RNA is filed under the name uncultured bacterium. Its description in RNAcentral is "bacterial SSU rRNA". It matches the Rfam family "Bacterial small subunit ribosomal RNA", at positions 355 to 784 of the family's 1533-position model. The record is from RNAcentral.